This 73-nucleotide transfer RNA is filed under the name Caudoviricetes sp. RNAcentral's name for it is "tRNA-Ile". It matches the Rfam family "tRNA". From Rfam's summary of the family: Transfer RNA (tRNA) molecules are approximately 80 nucleotides in length. Their secondary structure includes four short double-helical elements and three loops (D, anti-codon, and T loops). Further hydrogen bonds mediate the characteristic L-shaped molecular structure. tRNAs have two regions of fundamental functional importance: the anti-codon, which is responsible for specific mRNA codon recognition, and the 3' end, to which the tRNAs corresponding amino acid is attached (by aminoacyl-tRNA synthetases). tRNAs cope with the degeneracy of the genetic code in two manners: having more than one tRNA (with a specific anti-codon) for a particular amino acid; and 'wobble' base-pairing, i.e. permitting non-standard base-pairing at the 3rd anti-codon position. The record is from RNAcentral. Lineage: Duplodnaviria; Heunggongvirae; Uroviricota; Caudoviricetes.
GCGAAAUUAACUCAUCGGUUAGAGUGGCGAUCUUAUAAAUCGCUGGUAGUUGGUUCGACUCCAACAUUUCGCA